UUGAGUAUAUGUCGCCACCAAGUUCUGCUAUGUCUUAUGCAUGGAACUCUGUUUUGGAACUACAGCUGAAACUGGAGGGUUUACUAUGAAAUUCCAAUUCAAUGUUAUGAGAUUGUGUAAGUUAUGUUAAGUUGAUGUUAGUUGUUUUUUUUUUCUUUCAUUAUUCAGUUGGCUGUUAAAGUCAGUUAGGAGGUUUGCGUAAAAUCAGUCAAUGUUGGUUGAGAUUAGGAAGUGAGAUUCUGUUAAGCUUAAAUUUAAACCUGUUAUCAUGUUGAGUGCAAUUUUGAUGGUUUGAGCUUGAAAUGGAUAUUUAAUAGUUUAGGUAUUUAAAUGCAAUUGGACUAUGUCAUGCCAUGAGUUUGAUUUUUUUAUUAACUUACAUUCCUGUUAACUAUGUUAUUGCUAUGCUAAUUUAGUGAUGGGUUGGUCAUUGAGUUGUAUUGUUGUAUUAAAACUUAUGUUAGGAAUCAAUUAGGAAAAAUAGCUAGUUAUCAAAGUGUUAGUAGUGUAAGUUGAUUUGAAAUCUGUUUGUUAUGAUUGAAUGAUAGUUAGCUUUUUAUGGUUGAAUUCUGCUAGAGUUGAUAUGUUGUUGGCUAUUGUUAGUUAAAAGGUCAGUUUGUGAAUGAAAAUGUGUUUGGGUUCGAUUUCAAGUUGCUAUGUUGGGAUUUUGCAGGAUUCUUCAUGGGACAAACUGAGGUUGGCUAGUAUGUUGUAGUUGCCCUCCUUGGAAUGAGCUUGAAGAUAGAUCUUGUUUGCAUAUGGAAUGACUUAAAAGUCAAGUUAUGUAGAAAUAGGAAUUGUAGAUGUUGUGUUUUUUUUUUUGUGAAAUUGGGCUUUGUAAUAUGAUCUUUGUAGUUAUAACUUGUAGCUUGAAUGGAAAAUGGAUUUUUUUUUUGUUAUUAAAUGGAUAUUUAUUAUUAUUAAAAUGGAUAUUUAUUGUUAA
This 943-nucleotide long non-coding RNA is filed under the name Lathyrus oleraceus (garden pea). Its description in RNAcentral is "Pisum sativum (pea) long non-coding RNA (PSAT_LNC009995)". Lineage: Eukaryota; Viridiplantae; Streptophyta; Magnoliopsida; Fabales; Fabaceae. The record is from RNAcentral.